GCAGGUGCCGAAAGGCAUAAUAGGGAAUCCGGUGCGGAGGAAUCCAAAGCCGGAGCGGUCCCGCCACUGUAAGGGGAGGGGCGCUGCAUGAUGUCACUGGACAGGGAAGAGCCUGUCUGGGAAGGCGUAGCGCACCGAUGAACCGAGUCAGGAGAACUGCCUGCUUG
RNAcentral lists this non-coding RNA (167 nucleotides) under uncultured Mitsuokella sp. The record is from RNAcentral. Lineage: Bacteria; Bacillati; Bacillota; Negativicutes; Selenomonadales; Selenomonadaceae.